GGGCCCGCACAAGCGGUGGAGCAUGUGGUUUAAUUCGAUGAUACGCGAGGAACCUUACCAGGGCUUAAAUGCAUAAUGACAGAUUGGGAAACCAAUCCUUCUUCGGACAAUAUGCAAGGUGCUGCAUGGUUGUCGUCAGCUCGUGCCGUGAGGUGUUGGGUUAAGUCCCGUAACGAGCGCAACCCCUAUCCUUAGUUGCCAGCGGUUCGGCCGGGGACUCUAAGGAAACUGCCAGCGCAAGCUGUGAGGAAGGUGGGGAUGACGUCAAAUCAUCACGGCCCUUACGUCCUGGGCUACACACGUGCUACAAUGGUAGGUACAAAGGGCAGCCACUUGGUGACAAGGAGCU
RNAcentral lists this ribosomal RNA (349 nucleotides) under uncultured bacterium. Its description in RNAcentral is "bacterial SSU rRNA". It matches the Rfam family "Bacterial small subunit ribosomal RNA", at positions 917 to 1269 of the family's 1533-position model. The record is from RNAcentral.